Molecule: long non-coding RNA, 487 nt
Filed under: Medicago truncatula (barrel medic)
Lineage: Eukaryota; Viridiplantae; Streptophyta; Magnoliopsida; Fabales; Fabaceae
Description: lncRNA gene17773
Source: RNAcentral
GUUUUUCUUUUUAACUUUAUAAUAAAUCUUUUGGGAUAAGUAAGCUGAUGCUGAUAUACUUUGUUGUUGUGCUGCGUUAAAUUUUUCAAAUCAUAAAUCACCUCGCAGGUUUCCAUAUUUUUUGCCCUGCUUUGUUAUAUCAGCUUUUGCAUUUGCAGUAGCAAUUGCCUGCAUUUGGUUACCGGUAUGAAUCUUAAUUUCCUCAGCCAUAUAUAUGUAGUGCGGCUAUAUAUGUAUAUGUGUGCGUGCAUAUAACUGCAGGAAACACUUCACUACCAUAAUGGCAGCAAGGAGUCCACUGACAAUGUGGAAGCUGCAGAAGUUGGAAGCAGUGAGAGUAAGAAAGAUAAGAUGAUUGAAAAAGAUGAAAGCCUAUUUCUAAAUUGGCCUUUCAUGUCAUCUAUUAUUGUUUACGGUCUCUGCUCUCUCCAUGAUAUUACUUAUCAAGAGGUACCGGUAUUGUAAUAUACCAGCUUUCUCUGUACCC